Molecule: ribosomal RNA, 425 nt
Filed under: uncultured bacterium
Lineage: Bacteria
Description: bacterial SSU rRNA
Rfam family: Bacterial small subunit ribosomal RNA
Source: RNAcentral
GUGGGGAAUCUUGCACAAUGGGGGCAACCCUGAUGCAGCGACGCCGCGUGAGCGAUGAAGCCCUUCGGGGUGUAAAGCUCUUUCGGCAGGGAAGAUUAUGACGGUACCUGCAGAAGCAGCUGCGGCUAACUACGUGCCAGCAGCCGCGGUAAUACGUAGGCAGCGAGCGUUGUUCGGAGUUACUGGGCGUAAAGGGUGUGUAGGCGGUUUUCUAAGUCUGGUGUGAAAUCUCCCGGCUCAACUGGGAGGGUGCGCCGAAAACUGGAAGGCUAGAGUGCGGGAUGGGUAAGUGGAAUUCCUGGUGUAGCGGUGAAAUGCGUAGAUAUCAGGAGGAACACCUGUGGUGUAGACGGCUUACUGGACCGCAACUGACGCUGAAACACGAAAGCGUGGGUAGCAAACAGGAUUAGAAACCCUGGUAGUCC